RNAcentral lists this ribosomal RNA (366 nucleotides) under uncultured bacterium. Its description in RNAcentral is "bacterial SSU rRNA". It matches the Rfam family "Bacterial small subunit ribosomal RNA", at positions 1 to 334 of the family's 1533-position model. The record is from RNAcentral.
CUAUGCGCCUUGCCAGCCCGCUCAGUCAGAGUUUGAUCCUGGCUCAGAGCGAACGCUGGCGGCGUGCUUAACACAUGCAAGUCGAGCGAGAAAGGGGGCUUCGGCCCCUGAGUACAGCGGCGAACGGGUGCGUAAUACAUGAGCAAUCUAUCCUCGAGGCGGGAAUAACCCAGCGAAAGUUGGGCUAAUACCGGAUGAGACCACAGGAGGAAACUCCCGGGGUCAAAGGCAGCUUUCUUUUGGGAGCGGCCCUUCGAAGAGGAGCUCAUGUCCUAUCAGCUAGUUGGUAGGUAACGCUACCAAGGCGAAGACGGGUAGCUGGUCUUAGAGGAUGAUCAGCCACACGGGGACUGAGACACGGCCCCG